AAUGAACGCUGGCGGCGUGCCUAAUACAUGCAAGUCGAACGACCAGACGAUAAGCUUUCUCCUCUUCCGUUAGCGACUGACGGAUGAGUAACACGUGGAUCACCUACCUCUAAUACUUGGAUAACUUCGUGAAACCGGUUCUACUACCACCUCACAUGUUGAACCGCUUGGUUCAACAGUUCUACACGGUUUUCCUGUUCCUUAUAGCUGUAUCCGUGUCGCAUUAGCUAGUUGGUAAGGUAACGGCCUACCAAGGCGACGAUGCGUAGCUGACCUGAGAGGAUGAUCAGCCACACUGGAACUGAGACACGGUCCAGACUCCUACGGGAGGCAGCAGUGGGGAAUAUUGGACAAUGGGCGCAAGCCUGAUGCAGCCAUACCGCGUGAGUGAAGAAGGCCUUCGGGUUGUAAAGCCCUUUUGUUGGGAAAGAAAAGCAGCAGGUUAAUACCCGGCUGUUCUGACGGUACCCAAAGAAUAAGCACCGGCUAACUUCGUG
This 497-nucleotide ribosomal RNA is filed under the name uncultured bacterium. RNAcentral describes it as "partial 16S ribosomal RNA". It matches the Rfam family "Bacterial small subunit ribosomal RNA", at positions 29 to 507 of the family's 1533-position model. The record is from RNAcentral.